This 262-nucleotide ribosomal RNA is filed under the name uncultured bacterium. RNAcentral describes it as "partial 16S ribosomal RNA". It matches the Rfam family "Bacterial small subunit ribosomal RNA", at positions 793 to 1055 of the family's 1533-position model. The record is from RNAcentral.
GUCCUAGCCUUAACGAUGUAUACUUGAUAUAGUUGGACUCAACCCCGACUGUGUCGAAGCUAACGCGAUAAGUAUACCGCCUGGGGAGUACGCUCGCAAGGGUGAAACUCAAAAGAAUUGACGGGGGCCCGCACAAGCAGUGGAGCAUGUGGUUUAAUUCGAUGCAACGCGAAGAACCUUACCCAGGUUUGAAAUACAGGAGACCGGUCUAGAAAUAGACUUUCCCGCAAGGGCUGCUGUAUAGGUGCUGCAUGGCUGUCGU